GGAUGCGAUCAUGCCAGCACUAAAGCACCGGAUCCCAUCAGAACUCCGAAGUUAAGCAUGCUUGGGCGAGAGUAGUACUAGGAUGCGUGACCUCCUGGGAAGUCCCCGUGUUGCAUUCC
Molecule: ribosomal RNA, 119 nt
Filed under: Aegilops tauschii subsp. strangulata
Lineage: Eukaryota; Viridiplantae; Streptophyta; Magnoliopsida; Poales; Poaceae
Source: RNAcentral